GCUCCCAUAGUUCAACGGAUAGAACAAAGGUUUCCUAAACCUUCGAUCCAGGUUCGAUUCCUGGUGGGGGCA
RNAcentral lists this transfer RNA (72 nucleotides) under Minisyncoccota bacterium. RNAcentral describes it as "tRNA-Arg". It matches the Rfam family "tRNA". From Rfam's summary of the family: Transfer RNA (tRNA) molecules are approximately 80 nucleotides in length. Their secondary structure includes four short double-helical elements and three loops (D, anti-codon, and T loops). The record is from RNAcentral. Lineage: Bacteria; Bacillati; Minisyncoccota.